This 254-nucleotide ribosomal RNA is filed under the name uncultured bacterium. RNAcentral's name for it is "partial 16S ribosomal RNA". It matches the Rfam family "Bacterial small subunit ribosomal RNA", at positions 524 to 776 of the family's 1533-position model. The record is from RNAcentral.
UACGUAGGGUGCGAGCGUUAAUCGGAAUUACUGGGCGUAAAGCGUGCGCAGGCGGUCUGUUAAGACCGAUGUGAAAUCCCCGGGCUUAACCUGGGAACUGCAUUGGUGACUGGCAGGCUUUGAGUGUGGCAGAGGGAGGUAGAAUUCCACGUGUAGCGGUGAAAUGCGUAGAUAUCUGGAGGAACACCGGUGGCGAAGGCGGCAUCCUGGACCGACACUGACGCUGAGGCGCGAAAGCUAGGGGAGCAAACGGG